GUCGAGAAUCUUCCGCAAUGCGCGAAAGCGUGACGGAGCGACACCGCGUGAUGGAUGAAGUCCUUCGGGGCGUAAACAUCUUUUAUAAAGGAGGAAAUUUUUGACGUUACUUUAUGAAUAAGGGGCUCCCAAUCUCGUGCCAGCAGGAGCGGUCAUACGAGAGCCUCAAGCGUUAUCCGGAAUCAUUGGGCGUAAAGGGUGCGUAGGUGGUUUGAUUAGUCUCCCGUUAAAACUUCGAGCUUAACUCGAAAAGAGCGGGGGGAACGGUCAAACUAGAGUAUGUGAGAGGUGUGUGGAACUCAUGGUGUAGGGGUGAAAUCCGUUGAUAUCAUGGGGAACACCAAAAGCGAAGGCAGCACACUGGCACAUCACUGACACUGAGGCACGAAACCUAAGGUAGCGAAUGGGAUUAGAAACCCUAGUAGUCC
This 428-nucleotide ribosomal RNA is filed under the name uncultured bacterium. RNAcentral describes it as "partial 16S ribosomal RNA". It matches the Rfam family "Bacterial small subunit ribosomal RNA", at positions 354 to 796 of the family's 1533-position model. The record is from RNAcentral.